Molecule: small RNA, 23 nt
Filed under: Arabidopsis thaliana (thale cress)
Lineage: Eukaryota; Viridiplantae; Streptophyta; Magnoliopsida; Brassicales; Brassicaceae
Description: ATSL125510
Source: RNAcentral
UUAGUUAUCUUCUCUUUUUUUCU